Molecule: long non-coding RNA, 1507 nt
Filed under: Marmota monax (woodchuck)
Lineage: Eukaryota; Metazoa; Chordata; Mammalia; Rodentia; Sciuridae
Source: RNAcentral
CCUGGGGCACUAACUAGGUGACCCAGAGAAAAACAGCUUCAGGUCCAAAGUGCCCUUUCCUCUUCUGUCUCAGGCACAGCCAGAAGACCAGCCUGCCGUCUACACUAUAAAUGCCGAGGUCUUACUGGUCUGGGCUUUUGGGGCUCUGAAAGCAGGAAGGGAGCACUGGGGUGUUCAGGAGAGGAUUCUGAGAAAAGAAAGGACUUGAAAUGAAGCUUCCUUGAAUGGGGGAAGGGGGAAUGCAGGGCAUUUGGAGCUGGUAGGACUUUCAGAUGAAGAUGACCCAUAUGGUGGACAGUAUCAAGGACUUGUUUGAACAAAGGGUGCACAUUGGUGCAAACGGAGAAAGCAGAGAGCACUGUCAGCAAGCAACUUCAGAGCCCUCCAGCCUCCUUGGAGGGACUCCAUCCUCCUGACUGAGGGGGAAGGAGGCUGUGGGCCUGUCUAGUCUGGUAGACUAGAUAGAUCCAUAGAGACUAACGAGAUAGGGACCCCUUUAAAAGAUAGAACAGCAAAUAAGCACAUUGGUAAGUAGUGUGAUCAUGUUAGAACCCUUGAAAAUAAUUUCAUCGUGCACAGCAAGUUAAACAUCCCUCCUACAAUGCAUUCCCAACCUUUCAGGUCAGUAGGGUGGGACAUCGGGACCUCAUUGCCUCUGUACAUGUAAACUAGCUGGGAUUCCAAUGUGACCUGAUUUAUCCCAUCUGCCUGCCCUGCACCCCGACAGAGCUGUCAUUACCACACACCUCUCCCCUUUACCUGCAUCCAGCCAAGCAGCCAAGGAAACCAAGGAGUCUUGAUGGGUAACCUCAGGCUGAUGCUGCCCACAGCCCAGGCCCUGUGCUGAUCAGAUCUGACUCCCUGCCAGGAACACUCAAGCUCACCUACCUGCCUGCAGCUCUACUCUCCCUCCUGUUCCUGUUGGGAUGUGCAGAGGUCAGGAGCCACCCACAAUGGAACAGACCCACCUUGGCAUCCUCCCCUACAGCCAUUUUAGAAAAGCCACAGAAAACCAGUGUCCAGGCCUUACCACACCUGUCCUCCACCCUCAAGAAAGCAGGACAGGGUGGGGCUCACGAUAAGGUACAGCCUGUGGAGGAACCAAGGAAAGAGGCCUGGAGGACCUGAUCUUUGUGGUGUUUCCUUGACUCUUUCUGGCCCAGUGGUGGAGCCCUCCCAGGAGAUCCCUUGAGAGUGGAGAAUUCAUCCUGAACAGAACAGUAGACUGAUUGCGGGAGGCUUCUAGAAGGAGGUAGCCAGAGCUGAGUGCACUUUGGGGAAAUGGGGAAGGGGGAGGAGGCUCACUAAUAGGUAGUGACCCAGGAGUUCAGGGAGAGUUACAGAACUAUGGAACCCCUCAUAGUCAAGGAACUGAGUACCAUCUUUCCCCAUUGCCCCCCAGAUAAUGACUGUGGGGUCACUGCUAGGAGGAGGCACAUCUGCCUCCACAACUCAGCAGGGAGUGUAAAGGGUUAAAUCCAGAAAAUCACCCAAUAAAGGCAGAUGC